This is a long non-coding RNA of Pygocentrus nattereri (red-bellied piranha), 799 nucleotides long. RefSeq lists it as uncharacterized. NCBI's taxonomy places the organism in Eukaryota, Metazoa, Chordata, Actinopteri, Characiformes, Serrasalmidae. The record is from RefSeq and is a predicted model, not a curated record. The transcript is spliced from 4 exons.
GGAAUAGGAAGUGGCCAGGCUCUUCAUAAACUGGCUUUGGUAAAGGGAGCUCAACGGCUUAAAAUGAAAGCAAACGCAUUUUGGGCAGCAGAAGGCGGGCAUUACUGUUAGUGAGUCCUGAUUGGUUGGCGAGCCGAGCAGCUCAUUGGCUGUUCGCGCCAACAGACGUCAUGGACGUACAUGAGAUUUUUGGACGACUGAAAUACUGGGGCUCAGACGCUGCACAACUGAGCCGAAUGGACCUCGCGCGAACUGCUCGCUGCUGUUUCUCUGCUGUUUGUCUGCUGUUUGCAUGGACACAGUAAAGAAGUAACAGCUGCCCGUCCUGUGCGACCAUAUGCUGUUGCUUCUUCUACCUUGAUCGGGUGCCCACUGCUUGCCAGCCUUCUGGAUCUGUUUGACCACCAUGGAGCUUCUCGCUGUACAGCGCUAUGCAGACUUCACCAACAUGAACUAACCUUUGUGAUGAUACUGCUGCUACUGCUCCUGUUGCCGCUGCACAGACUCAAACUAUGUAACUAUAACUUCACCUGCUUCACCUGUUUUUCCCCACAUUCGUAUUUUAUUAUACUAAUGCUAUUUGCCAUCUGGUGUCGACCAGAGGAGAAUGGGUUCCCCUUUUUAGUCUUGGUUUCUCUCAAGGUUUCUUCCUCUUGCUCUUAGGGAGAUUUUCCUUGCCACUGUCACCAUUGCGUUGCUUAUGGGGGCUUGGACCCAGAUAUUUCGGUAAAUCUGCUUUGUGACUACACCUGUUGUAAAAAGCGUUAUAUAAAUAAACUUUGGCUUUGACACUGACUUA